GCACAAGCGGAGGACAUGUGGUUAAUUCGAUGAUACGCGAGGAACCUUACCUGGGCUUAAAUGUAGAGUGCAUUUUUUAGAGAUAGAAAUUCCCUUCGGGGCUUUCUGCAAGGUGCUGCAUGGUUGUCGUCAGCUCGUGCCGUGAGGUGUCGGGUUAAGUCCCAUAACGAGCGCAACCCUUAUCGUUAGUUGCCAUCUGGUAAUGCAGGGGACUCUAGCGAAACUGCCACCGUAAGGUGAGAGGAAGGUGGGAUGACGUCAAAUCAGCACGGCCCUUAUGUCCAGGGCUACACACGUGUUACAAUGGUCGGUACAGAGGGCAGCUACCUGGUGACAGGAUGCUAAUCUCGAAAACCGGUCUCAGUUCGGAUCGAAGUCUGCAACUCGACUUCGUGAAGCUGGAUUCGCUAGUAAUCGCGCAUCAGCUAUGGCGCGGUGAAUACGUUCCCGGGCCUU
Molecule: ribosomal RNA, 456 nt
Filed under: uncultured Sphingobacteriales bacterium
Lineage: Bacteria; Pseudomonadati; Bacteroidota; Sphingobacteriia; Sphingobacteriales
Description: bacterial SSU rRNA
Rfam family: Bacterial small subunit ribosomal RNA
Source: RNAcentral